GACGAACGCUGGCGGCGUGCUUAACACAUGCAAGUCGAACGGAAAGGCCCUGCUUUUGUGGGGUUCUCGAGUGGCGAACGGGUGAGUAACACGUGAGUAACCUGCCCUUUACUUUGGGAUAACUUCAGGGAACUGGGGCUAAUACCGGAUAUGAGCUCCUGCUGCAUGGUGGGGGUGGGAAAGUUUCGGCGGUUGGGGAUGGACUCGCGGCUUAUCAGCUUGGUGGUUGGGUAGUGUCUUACCAAGGCUUUGACGGGUAGCCGGCCUGAGAGGGUGACCGGCCACAUUGGGACUGAGCUAAGGCACAGCCUACUCCGCGAGGCAGCAGUGGAGAAUAUUGCAUAAUGGGAGGAAGCCUGAUCCAGCAACGCCGCGUGCGGGAUGACGGCCUUCGGGUUGUAAAGCGAUUUCGUCUGUGACGAAGCGUGAGUGACGGUAAUGGGUAAAGAAGCACCGGCUAACUACGUG
RNAcentral lists this ribosomal RNA (468 nucleotides) under uncultured bacterium. RNAcentral's name for it is "partial 16S ribosomal RNA". It matches the Rfam family "Bacterial small subunit ribosomal RNA", at positions 28 to 507 of the family's 1533-position model. The record is from RNAcentral.